Molecule: unclassified non-coding RNA, 309 nt
Filed under: plant metagenome
Description: partial contains 5.8S ribosomal RNA, internal transcribed spacer 2, and large subunit ribosomal RNA
Rfam family: 5.8S ribosomal RNA (bases 1-105)
Source: RNAcentral
GAAAUGCGAUAAGUAAUGUGAAUUGCAGAAUUCAGUGAAUCAUCGAAUCUUUGAACGCACAUUGCGCCCGCCAGUAUUCUGGCGGGCAUGCCUGUUCGAGCGUCAUUUCAACCAUCAAGCCCCGGGCUUGUGUUGGGGACCUGCGGCUGCCGCAGGCCCUGAAAACCAGUGGCGGGCUCGCUGUCACACCGAGCGUAGUAGAUUUUUCGUCUCGCCCAGGGCGUGCUGCGGGUUCCGGCCGUUAAAAAGCCUCUCUUUUUAACCCAAGGUUGACCUCGGAUCAGGUAGGAAGACCCGCUGAACUUAAGC